RNAcentral lists this ribosomal RNA (253 nucleotides) under uncultured bacterium. Its description in RNAcentral is "partial 16S ribosomal RNA". It matches the Rfam family "Bacterial small subunit ribosomal RNA", at positions 524 to 776 of the family's 1533-position model. The record is from RNAcentral.
UACGUAGGGUGCGAGCGUUAAUCGGAAUUACUGGGCGUAAAGUGUGCGCAGGCGGCCGCGCAAGUCGAGUGUGAAAGCCCCGAGCUUAACUUGGGAAUUGCGCUCGAAACUACGUGGCUGGAGUGUGGCAGAGGAAGGUGGAAUUCCAGGUGUAGCGGUGAAAUGCGUAGAGAUCUGGAGGAACACCGAUGGCGAAGGCAGCCUUCUGGGCCAACACUGACGCUCAUGCACGAAAGCGUGGGGAGCGAACAGG